Molecule: long non-coding RNA, 181 nt
Organism: Rosa chinensis
Lineage: Eukaryota; Viridiplantae; Streptophyta; Magnoliopsida; Rosales; Rosaceae
Exons: 3
Source: RefSeq, a predicted model, not a curated record
ACUAUGACAGAACAAAUGGGGGACUCUGAGAUUUCAAACCACUAACCUCUCUAUUUUGAUCAGUAUCAGAAACUUUCUUUUGGAUCAAGGGCUCAAGUGGAUUGAAGAUUGGUCCUUUGGUACUUGCUGGGAGUUACACAUCAAGGAUUCCAGGUUAAGCUUGUAAAGUGCCUUGUGCAAA